This 628-nucleotide ribosomal RNA is filed under the name uncultured bacterium. Its description in RNAcentral is "bacterial SSU rRNA". It matches the Rfam family "Bacterial small subunit ribosomal RNA", at positions 1 to 614 of the family's 1533-position model. The record is from RNAcentral.
AAUUCGAUUGAGUUUGAUCAUGGCUCAGGACGAACGCUGGCGGCGUGCUUAACACAUGCAAGUGGAGCGACGAACCAGGGCUUGCCCUGGGGCAGAGCCGCGAACGGGUGAGUAACACGUGGGUAACCUGCCUUGAUGAUUGGGACAACCCCGGGAAACCGGGGCUAAUACCAAAUGUGCUCACACCCCAUCAGGGGUAUGAGGAAAGGAAGCUUCGGCCUCCGCAUCGAGAUGGGCCCGCGGUGCAUUAGCUUGUUGGUGGGGUAACGGCCCACCAAGGCGUCGAUGCAUAGCUGGUCUGAGAGGACGAUCAGCCACACUGGGACUGAGACACGGCCCAGACUCCUACGGGAGGCAGCAGUGGGGAAUCUUGCGCAAUGCGCGAAAGCGUGACGCAGCAACGCCGCGUGAGGGAAGACGGCCUUCGGGUUGUAAACCUCUUUCAGUUGGGACGAAGCUUCGUCGGUGAAUAGCCGGCCGGAGUGACGGUACCUUCACAAGAAGCCCCGGCUAACUACGUGCCAGCAGCCGCGGUAAUACGUAGGGGGCAAGCGUUGUCCGGAAUCAUUGGGCGUAAAGCGCGUGUAGGCGGCUCGAUAAGUCCGCUCUGAAAGUCCAGGGCUCAACC